Molecule: ribosomal RNA, 94 nt
Filed under: Trichocentrum cebolleta
Lineage: Eukaryota; Viridiplantae; Streptophyta; Magnoliopsida; Asparagales; Orchidaceae
Also listed under: 1 other name
Description: Trichocentrum cebolletum 5.8S ribosomal RNA
Rfam family: 5.8S ribosomal RNA
About the family: 5.8S ribosomal RNA (5.8S rRNA) is a component of the large subunit of the eukaryotic ribosome. It is transcribed by RNA polymerase I as part of the 45S precursor that also contains 18S and 28S rRNA.
Source: RNAcentral
GACACGACUCUCGGCAAUGGAUAUCUCGGCUCUCGCAUCGAUGAAGAGCGCAGCGAAAUGCGAUACGUGGUGUGAAUUGCAGAAUCCCGCGAAC